This 802-nucleotide ribosomal RNA is filed under the name uncultured archaeon. Its description in RNAcentral is "bacterial SSU rRNA". It matches the Rfam family "Archaeal small subunit ribosomal RNA", at positions 47 to 855 of the family's 1478-position model. The record is from RNAcentral.
AGCCAUGUGAGUCAUUGUAGCAAUACAAGGCAGACGGCUCAGUAACACGUAGUCAAUCUACCCUAUGGACGGGGAUAACCUCGGGAAACUGAGGAUAAAACCCGAUAGAUCAUAAUGCCUGGAAUGGCUUAUGGUCCAAAUGAUUCGUCGCCGUAGGAUGGGACUGCGGCCUAUCAGCUUGUUGGUGAGGUAAUGGCCCACCAAGGCUAUUACAGGUACGGGCUCUGAGAGGAGAAGCCCGGAGAUGGGUACUGAGACACGGACCCAGGCCCUAUGGGGCGCAGCAGGCGAGAAACCUUUGCAAUGUGCGCAAGCACGACAAGGUUAAUCCGAGUGUUUCCUGCUAAAGGAAUCUUUUGUUAGUUCUAAAACCACUGAUGAAUAAGGGGUGGGCAAGUUCUGGUGUCAGCCGCCGCGGUAAAACCAGCACCUCAAGUGGUCAGGAGGAUUAUUGGGCCUAAAGCAUCCGUAGCCUGUUCUGUAAGUUUCCGGUUAAAUCCAUUAGCUCAACUAAUGGGCUGCCGAAAAUACUGUAGAACUAGGGAGUGGGAGAGGUAGACGGUACUCGGUAGGAAGGGGUAAAAUCCUUUGAUCUAUUGAUGACCACCUGUGGCGAAGGCGGUCUACCAGAACACGUCCGACGGUGAGGGAUGAAAGCUGGGGGAGCAAACCGGAUUAGAUACCCGGGUAGUCCCAGCUGUAAACUAUGCAAACUCAGUGAUGCAUUGGCUUGAUGCCAAUGCAGUGCUGCAGGGAAGCCGUUAAGUUUGCCGCCUGGGAAGUACGUACGCAAGUAUGGGUG